GAGAGGCAGAGAUUCUCCCUAAGUGGCAAUGUCCUUGGCCUUCUAAGCUAAAACCUAAAUGGAACUAUAAUAUAUAUUUUGAUGCUUUAUCUCACUUGAGUUUUUUAUUCUUUAACUGAAGGGCAGCCAUGGACCAUAAAUACAUAGAAGAUAAAAAUAUAUUGAGCUUAGGAGUUUGGUCUGUUCAAUGGAUGAGAACUUUAUAUUUUCCCUUAUAAACACAAUUUUCAAAGAAUAGCCUGUAAUAGUCGUGAAAAUGGAAACCAAUACUGGGGAAAUGUGGACUGCAACUCUGAAAAGGUAUCAAAAUGCCCGAUAGUUCAACACAAGGGCUAAGCAAUAUUUCAGGGAUGUGGCCUGUCUUUGGUGGCUCGGUCACUCUAGUGAGAUGAAUUUGGAAAAGGAUAGGCAUACAGAAUCCCCCCUCUGGCAGGGUUUGCCUUUGGGGUCUGCUUAAAGCCAUGUUUGCUAGUAGAAAUCUUGAGUAACCAGAUAUGUUUUAUAAUGCUGUGUCAUAUUUAAAUUCUGAUGAGAUUGACAUCUUUAAAUAAGCUUGGACACAGAUUGGAUUUGUACAGGGAACUGGACUGAAGAAUAAUCGUAGGUCAGUAAUAGAUUUAGAUAUACUAUUUUUAUAUUGUAAGCAGUUACUUCUCAGGAUUAGUAUUCUAAUUCAUUUGAUUUAAUAUGUAAUAGGUAAUAUUAAAAAUAAAGAUUUUAUG
This 722-nucleotide long non-coding RNA is filed under the name Homo sapiens (human). RNAcentral's name for it is "non-protein coding LINC02246:29". The record is from RNAcentral. Lineage: Eukaryota; Metazoa; Chordata; Mammalia; Primates; Hominidae.